RNAcentral lists this non-coding RNA (45 nucleotides) under Schistosoma curassoni. The record is from RNAcentral. Lineage: Eukaryota; Metazoa; Platyhelminthes; Trematoda; Strigeidida; Schistosomatidae.
GUCCAGCUGAUGAGUCUUAAAUAGGACGAAACGUGCGUCCUGGCU